UACGGAGGUGGCAAGCGUUGUUCGGAAUUACUGGGCGUAAAGGGCGCGUAGGCGGCUAGGCAAGUCAGGUGUGAAAGCCCCGAGCUUAACUCGGGAAUUGCAUCUGAAACUGCUGUGCUUGAGUUCUGGAGGGGGUAGUGGAAUUCCCAGUGUAGCGGUGAAAUGCGUAGAUAUUGGGAGGAACACCUGCGGCGAAGGCGGCUACCUGGACAGAAACUGACGCUGAGGCGCGAAAGCUAGGGGAGCAAACGGG
Molecule: ribosomal RNA, 253 nt
Filed under: uncultured bacterium
Lineage: Bacteria
Description: partial 16S ribosomal RNA
Rfam family: Bacterial small subunit ribosomal RNA
Source: RNAcentral